ACGGGAGGCAGCAGUGAGGAAUAUUGGUCAAUGGACGAGAGUCUGAACCAGCCAAGUAGCGUGCAGGAUGACGGCCCUAUGGGUUGUAAACUGCUUUUGUACGGGAAUAAAGUGACCUACGUGUAGGUUUUUGCAUGUACCGUAAGAAUAAGGACCGGCUAAUUCCGUGCCAGCAGCCGCGGUAAUACGGAAGGUCCGGGCGUUAUCCGGAUUUAUUAGGUUUAAAGGGUGCGCAGGCGGGACAUUAAGUCGGUGGUGAAAUACCGUAGCUCAACUACGGGGCUGCCAUCGAUACUGAUGACCUUGAGUGCGGAUGAGGAAGGCGGAAUGUGGCGUGUAGCGGUGAAAUGCUUAGAUAUGCCACAGAACACCGAUUGCGAAGGCAGCUUUCCAAUGCGUAACUGACGCUCAUGCACGAAAGCGCGGGUAGCGAACAGGAUUAGAUACCCUGGUA
Molecule: ribosomal RNA, 454 nt
Filed under: uncultured Prevotella sp.
Lineage: Bacteria; Pseudomonadati; Bacteroidota; Bacteroidia; Bacteroidales; Prevotellaceae
Description: bacterial SSU rRNA
Rfam family: Bacterial small subunit ribosomal RNA
Source: RNAcentral